Molecule: ribosomal RNA, 424 nt
Filed under: uncultured Glomeromycotina
Lineage: Eukaryota; Fungi; Glomeromycota
Description: SSU rRNA
Rfam family: Eukaryotic small subunit ribosomal RNA
Source: RNAcentral
AGCAGCCGCGGUAAUUCCAGCUCCAAUAGCGUAUAUUAAAGUUGUUGCAGUUAAAAAGCUCGUAGUUGAAUUUCGGGAUCAGUAAGCCGGUCGUACCUUCGGUAUGUACUGGUGUCACUGAUUCCUCCCUUCUGAUGAACCGUUAUACCAUUUAGUUGGUGUGGCGGGGAAUCAGGACUGUUACUUUGAAAAAUUAGAGUGUUUAAAGCAAGCUCACGCUUGAAUACAUUAGCAUGGAAUAAUAAAAUAGGACGUUUGAUCUCCUAUUUUGUUGGUUUCUAGGAUCGACGUAAUGAUUAAUAGGGAUAGUUGGGGGCAUUAGUAUUCAAUUGUCAGAGGUGAAAUUCUUGGAUUUAUUGAAGACUAACUACCGCGAAAGCAUUUGCCAAGGAUGUUUUCAUUAAUCAAGAACGAAAGUUAGGGG